CCUAUGGGAGGCAGCAGUGAGGAAUAUUGGUCAAUGGACGAGAGUCUGAACCAGCCAAGUCGCGUGAAGGAUGACUGCCCUAUGGGUUGUAAACUUCUUUUAUAUGGGAAUAAAAUGUUCCACGUGUGGGAUUUUGUAUGUACCCUAUGAAUAAGGAUCGGCUAACUCCGUGCCAGCAGCCGCGGUAAUACGGAGGAUCCGAGCGUUUUCCGGAUUUAUUGGGUUUAAAGGGAGCGUAGGUGGAUUGUUAAGGCAGUUGUGAAAGUUUGGGGCUCAACCGUAAAAUUGCAGUUGAAACUGGCAGUCUUGAGUACAGGAGAGGUAGGCGGAAUUCGUGGUGUAGCGGUGAAAUGCUUAGAUAUCACGAAGAACUCCGAUUGCGAAGGCAGUUCACUGGACUGCAACUGACGCUGAGGCUCGAAAGUGUGGGUAUCGAACAGGAUUAGAUACCCGAGUAGUC
RNAcentral lists this ribosomal RNA (460 nucleotides) under uncultured bacterium. RNAcentral's name for it is "partial 16S ribosomal RNA". It matches the Rfam family "Bacterial small subunit ribosomal RNA", at positions 338 to 795 of the family's 1533-position model. The record is from RNAcentral.